RNAcentral lists this ribosomal RNA (491 nucleotides) under uncultured bacterium. RNAcentral's name for it is "bacterial SSU rRNA". It matches the Rfam family "Bacterial small subunit ribosomal RNA", at positions 903 to 1397 of the family's 1533-position model. The record is from RNAcentral.
AAAGGAAUUGACGGGGACCCGCACAAGCAGCGGAGCAUGUGGUUUAAUUCGAAGCAACGCGAAAAACCUUACCAAGACUUGACAUCAUCUGACCGCCGUAGAAAUACGGUUUUCCGCAAGGACAGGUAGACAGGUGGUGCAUGGUUGUCGUCAGCUCGUGUCGUGAGAUGUUCGGUUAAGUCCGGCAACGAGCGCAACCCUUAUGAAUAGUUGCCAAUAUUUAGUUAGGAACUCUAUUCAGACUGCCGUGGAUAACACGGAGGAAGGUGGGGAUGACGUCAAAUCAUCAUGCCCCUUACGUCUUGGGCUACACACGUGCUACAAUGGCUAUCACAAAGCGCAGCAAAACGGUAACGUCGAGCGAAUCGCAUAAAAAUAGUCUCAGUUCAGACUGUGGGCUGAAACCCGCCCACACGAAGUCGGAGUUGCUAGUAAUCCCGAAUCAGCAUGUCGGGGUGAAUGCGUUCCCGGGUCUUGUACACACCGCCCGU